This 364-nucleotide transfer-messenger RNA is filed under the name Planctomycetota. RNAcentral describes it as "JAGQRJ01 sp020425635 Standard tmRNA". It matches the Rfam family "transfer-messenger RNA". From Rfam's summary of the family: Bacterial tmRNA, also known as 10Sa RNA or SsrA, is named for its dual tRNA and mRNA-like properties. The record is from RNAcentral. Lineage: Bacteria; Pseudomonadati. RNAcentral also lists the same sequence under 1 other name.
GGGGGCGAAACGGUAUCGACCGGAUUGGAUAAGCUACGUGCUGCGUGUCGAGGUGUCCGGCGGCCUCGUUAAACCCCGGAAAAACGCAUAACUGUCAAUCCUCAGUUUGCACUCGCUGCUUAGUUAAACGCUAACAGCCCUCCCCGGAGUCCCCGCCCAUGGGACGACGGUAGGAGGCCACAAGAUGGGCUGGUCACCGCACCCUGCGUCUCAGGGGGGGCGGGACGAGAAAGUUCUGAGACUGGCUCCUCUAGCGCUGGGUUCGUUAGGGCCGAGGGGCGAGACCUACACUAGUGAACUACACACGUAGAGGCCGUGGUGGACUUUUCUCGGGACCCGGGUUCGACUCCCGGCGCCUCCAGCC